CCUACGGGGUGCAGCAGGCGAGAAAACUUUGCAAUGUGCGAAAGCACGACAAGGUUAAUCCGAGUGGUUUCUGCUAAAGAAACCUUUUGUUAGUCCUAGAAACACUGAUGAAUAAGGGGUGGGCAAGUUCGUGGUGUCAGCCGCCGCGGUAAAACCAGCACCUCAAGUGGUGAGGAUGAUUAUUGGGCCUAAAGCAUCCGUAGCCGGCUAUGUAAGUUUUCGGUUAAAUCUGUGCGCUUAACGUACAGGCUGCCGGGAAUACUGCAUAGCUAGGAAGUGGGAGAGGUAGACGGUACUCGGUAGGAAGGGGUAAAAUCCUUUGAUCUAUUGAUGACCACCUGUGGCGAAGGCGGUCUACCAGAACACGUUCGACGGUGAGGGAUGAAAGCUGGGGGAGCAAACCGGAUUAGAUACCCGGGUAGUC
RNAcentral lists this ribosomal RNA (424 nucleotides) under uncultured archaeon. RNAcentral describes it as "partial 16S ribosomal RNA". It matches the Rfam family "Archaeal small subunit ribosomal RNA", at positions 322 to 746 of the family's 1478-position model. The record is from RNAcentral.